This is a microRNA precursor of Oryza sativa Japonica Group (Japanese rice), 206 nucleotides long. It matches the Rfam family "MIR812 microRNA precursor family". The record is from Rfam. Lineage: Eukaryota; Viridiplantae; Streptophyta; Magnoliopsida; Poales; Poaceae.
AAAGACUCAAUUCCUGGGUCUUCAUGUCCAACGUUUGAUUGUCCGUCUUAUAUAAAUUUUUUUAUGAUUAUUAUUUUCAUUAUUGUUAGAUGAUAAAAUAUGAAUAAUAUUUUAUGUGUGACUUAUCUUUUUAUUUUUUUUCAUAUUUUUUUUAAAUAAAAUGGACGGUCAAACGUUAGACACGGAAACCUAGAAUUGAAUCUUUU